CCUACGGGUGGCAGCAGUGGGGAAUAUUGGACAAUGGGGGGAACCCUGAUCCAGCCAUGCCGCGUGUGUGAAGAAGGCCCUCGGGUUGUAGAGCACUUUCAGUGAGGAAGAACGCCUGGUGGUUAAUACCCAUCAGGAAAGACAUCACUCACAGAAGAAGCACCGGCUAACUCCGUGCCAGCAGCCGCGGUAAUACGGAGGGUGCGAGCGUUAAUCGGAAUUACUGGGCGUAAAGCGCGCGUAGGUGGCUUGAUAAGCCGGUUGUGAAAGCCCCGGGCUCAACCUGGGAACGGCAUCCGGAACUGUCAAGCUAGAGUGCAGGAGAGGAAGGUAGAAUUCCCGGUGUAGCGGUGAAAUGCGUAGAGAUCGGGAGGAAUACCAGUGGCGAAGGCGGCCUUCUGGACUGACACUGACACUGAGGUGCGAAAGCGUGGGUAGCAAACAGGAUUAGAUACCCCGGUAGUC
This 465-nucleotide ribosomal RNA is filed under the name Vreelandella stevensii. Its description in RNAcentral is "partial 16S ribosomal RNA". It matches the Rfam family "Bacterial small subunit ribosomal RNA", at positions 338 to 795 of the family's 1533-position model. Lineage: Bacteria; Pseudomonadati; Pseudomonadota; Gammaproteobacteria; Oceanospirillales; Halomonadaceae. The record is from RNAcentral.